This is a long non-coding RNA of Gasterosteus aculeatus aculeatus (three-spined stickleback), 1003 nucleotides long. Lineage: Eukaryota; Metazoa; Chordata; Actinopteri; Perciformes; Gasterosteidae. The record is from Ensembl.
GAGAAGUUUUCGGGGAGGGGAGUCGGGUGGAAACCGGACGGGUGUGAAUUCCCUUCAGCAGGCUGGUGCAGAGGUUUGGUAGAGAGGAGAUGUGGACGGACCGUGUGCUGCUGCAGAGGGACCCGGCGCGAUGAUCAACGGCGAAUUUCGGUGCUUUACCCAGGAUAGCUGAUCACCCCACCAUAUGUCUGCCAGUUGUCUCCAAAAUCUCAGUGGUAAGUCCUCGAGUGUGUGUUUGUGUGCGUGUGUGUGUAGGACGUUUUCAGCGGUUUUAUAUCGGCAAAGCGAUGACACACAAAGACGAUAUUGAAACGGCAAAGCACAAAUUCGGUUGUCCCGAUCACAGAGUUUGGAAUCAGGGUGUCCGAUCCUUCAGGCUUAACUAAAUAUAGUGAGACUAGAGGGGUAACGCAGCAUCUCAGACAAAUCCAAGCUAUUCUCCCCUCUAAGGGUAUUCCUACCUGCAGUUUUGCAAUCCAGGUUGUGUGUGUGUGUGUGUGUGUGUGUGUGUGUGUGUGUGUGUGUGUGUGUGUGUGUGUGUGUGUGUGUGUGUGUGUGUGUGUGUGUGUGUGUGUGUGUGUGAGAAAGAGAGACGGUUUUGGAGGGAGCAGAGAUCAGGGCUGCAACUUUGGGCCGAGGGAAAGACAAGGCCUGCCACAGAAGGCCGAGCCCCGCAGUAUCGUUCUCUCUCUCCCACUCUCUCUCACCCUUUCUCUCUCCUAGUCAGCUAUCAGAAAAAUAUUAACAGUAAUUAUUGUAUUGAGCUUUCUUGUGAAAAAAAACUCAUCUUUGUGAAUAUGGCGAGCUUUUGGUCGUCAAAGAUUACAUUUUUUGCUGACACGUGGCCACACAUAGCUCUGAUAUAGCUCAAACAAGCCCUUUUGGAAAUACCUGUUAUAACCAAUGUUUUAUGCAAUGUGAAGAAUAACAUAUAAACACUAUUUAGGUUUAUGUAACUGAACCGAAACAGAGCAGUAUGCUGUAUAAGAAACCUCGAUAAGUU